RNAcentral lists this small nuclear RNA (19 nucleotides) under Arabidopsis thaliana (thale cress). Its description in RNAcentral is "snRNA_16138". The record is from RNAcentral. Lineage: Eukaryota; Viridiplantae; Streptophyta; Magnoliopsida; Brassicales; Brassicaceae.
UUUGGGGUUUUGGUUCUUG